This 848-nucleotide ribosomal RNA is filed under the name Bartalinia robillardoides. Its description in RNAcentral is "eukaryotic LSU rRNA". It matches the Rfam family "Eukaryotic large subunit ribosomal RNA", at positions 68 to 941 of the family's 3401-position model. Lineage: Eukaryota; Fungi; Ascomycota; Sordariomycetes; Amphisphaeriales; Sporocadaceae. The record is from RNAcentral.
ACAGGGAUUGCCUUAGUAACGGCGAGUGAAGCGGCAAUAGCUCAAAUUUGAAAUCUGGCGCUUGCGUCCGAGUUGUAAUUUGUAGAGGAUGAUUUUGGUUAGGUACCUUUCGAGUUCCUUGGAACAGGACGCCUUAGAGGGUGAGAGCCCCGUACGAUUGGAUGCCGAGCCUCUGUAAAUCUCCUUCGACGAGUCGAGUAGUUUGGGAAUGCUGCUCUAAAUGGGAGGUAAAUUUCUUCUAAAGCUAAAUACCGGCCAGAGACCGAUAGCGCACAAGUAGAGUGAUCGAAAGAUGAAAAGCACUUUGAAAAGAGGGUUAAAUAGCACGUGAAAUUGUUGAAAGGGAAGGAUUUAUGACCAGACUUUUUCUAGGAGAAUCAUCCGGUGUUCUCACCGGUGCACUUCUUUUAGUUUAGGCCAGCAUCGACUUUCGGCGGUGGAUAAAAGCUUUAGGAAUGUGGCUUCUCUCGGGAAGUGUUAUAGCCUAUUGUAUAAUACACUGCUGGGGGUCGAGGUACGCGCUUCUGCAAGGAUGCUGGCGUAAUGGUUAUCAAUCACCCGUCUUGAAACACGGACCAAGGAGUCGAACAUUUGUGCGAGUGUUUGGGUGUUAAACCCUCACGCGUAAUGAAAGUGAACGGAGGUGAGAGCCCUUACGGGUGCAUCAUCGACCGAUCCUGAUGUUUUCGGAUGGAUUUGAGUAAGAGCAUAAAUGUUCGGACCCGAAAGAUGGUGAACUAUGCGUGGAUAGGGUGAAGCCAGAGGAAACUCUGGUGGAGGCUCGCAGCGGUUCUGACGUGCAAAUCGAUCGUCAAAUCUGCGCAUGGGGGCGAAAGACUAAUCGAACC